Long non-coding RNA from Syngnathus acus (greater pipefish), 364 nucleotides. RefSeq lists it as uncharacterized. NCBI's taxonomy places the organism in Eukaryota, Metazoa, Chordata, Actinopteri, Syngnathiformes, Syngnathidae. The record is from RefSeq and is a predicted model, not a curated record. The transcript is spliced from 2 exons.
GCCAAUUGUCUAGGCCACUGGGUGCUGGAAGUUGCCUAUCUACAAUACAGGCAACAGUACCAUCAGGCUAUGGAUUUUCCACAGCACGAAAAAUACAGACACACAGCAUACAGACAAUUGGUCCAUUGGUGUUGGGGAGUUGUUGGUCGCCACCACAGACUACCGUUGCCCUCUUGAUGUGUGAGAAAGAUACGGGCCAGCUUCCCUAACCCUGAUGGACAGCCAUACACUGGUUUCAAGUGGCCAACGCUUUGACUGAUUUUCAUGAAUGACUGUCUUUUAUAUUGUAAUAUCAUGACCAGAAAUAUUAUUAUAAUGUAAAAUGAUAUUUUGACAGUAAACAUACUUUCAUGGUUUUGCCACA